Molecule: long non-coding RNA, 984 nt
Organism: Vespula pensylvanica (western yellowjacket)
Lineage: Eukaryota; Metazoa; Arthropoda; Insecta; Hymenoptera; Vespidae
Exons: 3
Source: RefSeq, a predicted model, not a curated record
CCGUCGUUCGGCGGACGGGGAUGAAGCUGCAAGUCAGUCCUUCGGUGGUUGUCGAACUAGUAAUACGCGAGUGAGUGUGGUACAACAAAUAUUCGUUCGUGCAUACUUCAUACGUCCCAGAGAUCAGUUAUACAAGUAAUUCAGGCGGUUGAAACAAUUUAUUCAUUCUUACUAGUCAUUUGUUUAAACUAUCAAUAUAAGAGAUAUACUAAACCAACGGAAGACGAAAGCAGUUCCAACAGCCUGGAUGUAUUGCAAAGGAGCCGAAUUGACUUAUACUUGAAUUGUAAUUCCAAAGAAGAACUACGCUCCACCAGAUAAUAAAACAUUACACAUCCAAAGUGAAACUCAUCUAUAUUGACACUUUCUGUUAUUCCGUACACCCGACGAUGUCUUACAGGAAGAGUAAAAAUCUAGCCAGACCAUCAACAAGAAUAAUUUAUGAAAAAAUUAUCCUUUUUACAUUUAUUGUAAAAUGGGAAAUCGAUCAACGCUGUGUUUAGUUAAUGAUUUUAUGCAGUCGAAGAAAGUAUUUUUAUUUAUAAGUGAAUUUAUCACAAAUAUUCCAAAUGGUAUGAAACCCAAAGUGGGGUAAUUAUCCGGUAAUUUCUAUAAUAUAGAAAUGACACUUUCUAAUAAGUCUUAUACAAAUGGCUACUGCUAAAUUUUGAAGAAUAUUGAUGGAAUAAUAGAAUGACUAGUGAUAAUGGUGUUUAAACCGUCUUUAUUACUUGUAAAGCUGUUCUUUCGGACGUAUGAUAGCUAGGGAUUAUUUCGCGUAUGACACACACUUGCGUAUUACUGGAUCGAAAAUCACGGAAGGAAUGACUUCUCCUAGUUAAAUUAGUCCCAUGUCAUCAGGAUAGAAGACCAAGCUUCCUAGAUUCUAAUUUUAUAACUAGAACGCAUGGGGAUAAAAAAUCUCCCCUAUCCUAUAGUUAUGUAAUUAUAUUUAUAUAUAUUCUAUGUUCACGUGAAAUUAUC